UACGGGAGGCAGCAGUGGGGAAUCUUGCACAAUGGAGGAAACUCUGAUGCAGCGAUGCCGCGUGAGUGAAGAAGGCCCUUGGGUUGUAAAGCUCUUUCGUCGGGGAAGAAAAUGACUGUACCCGAAUAAGA
This 131-nucleotide ribosomal RNA is filed under the name uncultured bacterium. RNAcentral's name for it is "partial 16S ribosomal RNA". It matches the Rfam family "Bacterial small subunit ribosomal RNA", at positions 340 to 488 of the family's 1533-position model. The record is from RNAcentral.